AAGUCGUAACAAGGUUUCCGUAGGUGAACCUGCGGAAGGAUCAUUACAGUGUUAGGCUUCGGCCUCAUUCACACCCCUUGCUGAACCUCUGGUUUCUUUGGCGAUGUCAUGGACUCGUCAAACUUUAACUCUGGGAAUGCGAUACUGUCCGAGUGCCAUUGAAUGAUUAAAACUUUCAACAACGGAUCUCUUGGUUCCA
Molecule: unclassified non-coding RNA, 199 nt
Filed under: fungal sp.
Lineage: Eukaryota; Fungi
Description: partial internal transcribed spacer region
Rfam family: Eukaryotic small subunit ribosomal RNA (bases 1-46)
Source: RNAcentral